UCAAAUCCCCCAAAAAGUCAAAAUCCAAAAGUUCUCAUCUCUACUUUCUCUCUCUAUUCAACCUCCAUUGAAGGAUGAAAAAAGCUUGAAGAAGAAGACCAAUUUCUCUAGGAUUUCACUUCAAUUUCGUGGAUUAAUCUUCAUUAAGGAUCCGACCGUUGAGCUUAGUUGAUGGCCAUUAAUGACUACUUGGACAUUUUCCAAAUGUUUCGGUGGGUCCUCACUUUCCGAUGACAAUGUCAUUAUCAAGCUAUUGAUGUUGUUCUAGUUAUAAGACUUCUAGUUCUUUCCUUUAAUUUGGAGACGAUUGUUAUAUGAGCCUAUACGAGGCUCUUUGUUGUAAUGAAGUAUGGGUUAAGCCCAAAUUGUUGUAUUCGUUUUAGAUGGUUCUAAUAUGAGACAUAUUAUAGACUUCCUAUGA
Molecule: long non-coding RNA, 421 nt
Organism: Solanum pennellii
Lineage: Eukaryota; Viridiplantae; Streptophyta; Magnoliopsida; Solanales; Solanaceae
Exons: 2
Source: RefSeq, a predicted model, not a curated record